UCAUGGUAAAUGCAUGUCGGUGUUAGC
RNAcentral lists this non-coding RNA (27 nucleotides) under Homo sapiens (human). Lineage: Eukaryota; Metazoa; Chordata; Mammalia; Primates; Hominidae. The record is from RNAcentral.